Molecule: ribosomal RNA, 624 nt
Filed under: uncultured bacterium
Lineage: Bacteria
Description: bacterial SSU rRNA
Rfam family: Bacterial small subunit ribosomal RNA
Source: RNAcentral
GCGUGGGUAACCUGCCUCAUACAGGGGGAUAACAGUUGGAAACGACUGCUAAUACCGCAUAAGCGCACAGUACCGCAUGGUACCGUGUGAAAAACUCCGGUGGUAUGAGAUGGACCCGCGUCUGAUUAGCUAGUUGGUGGGGUAACGGCCUACCAAGGCGACGAUCAGUAGCCGACCUGAGAGGGUGACCGGCCACAUUGGGACUGAGACACGGCCCAAACUCCUACGGGAGGCAGCAGUGGGGAAUAUUGCACAAUGGGGGAAACCCUGAUGCAGCAACGCCGCGUGAGUGAAGAAGUAUUUCGGUAUGUAAAGCUCUAUCAGCAGGGAAGAAAAUGACGGUACCUGACUAAGAAGCCCCGGCUAACUACGUGCCAGCAGCCGCGGUAAUACGUAGGGGGCAAGCGUUAUCCGGAUUUACUGGGUGUAAAGGGAGCGUAGACGGCGAGACAAGUCUGAAGUGAAAACCCGGGGCUCAACCCCGGGACUGCUUUGGAAACUGCCUUGCUAGAGUGCUGGAGAGGUAAGUGGAAUUCCUAGUGUAGCGGUGAAAUGCGUAGAUAUUAGGAGGAACACCAGUGGCGAAGGCGGCUUACUGGACAGUAACUGACGUUGAGGCUCGAA